CUAUGGCAAGUCUUUUGUCAUGGCGGAAGGAG
This 32-nucleotide non-coding RNA is filed under the name unclassified sequences. Its description in RNAcentral is "L31-Firmicutes ribosomal protein leader". It matches the Rfam family "L31-Firmicutes ribosomal protein leader". The record is from RNAcentral.